GACGAACGCUGGCGGCGUGCUUAACACAUGCAAGUCGAACGGAAAGGCCCUGCUUUUGUGGGGUGCUCGAGUGGCGAACGGGUGAGUAACACGUGAGUAACCUGCCCUUGACUUUGGGGUAACUUCAGGAAACUGGGGCUAAUACCGGAUAGGAUCUCCUGCUGCAUGGUGGGGGUUGGAAAGUUUCGGCGGUUGGGGAUGGACUCGCGGCUUAUCAGCUUGUUGGUGGGGUAGUGGCUUACCAAGGCUUUGACGGGUAGCCGGCCUGAGAGGGUGACCGGCCACAUUGGGACUGAGAUACGGCCCAGACUCCUACGGGAGGCAGCAGUGGGGAAUAUUGCACAAUGGGCGGAAGCCUGAUGCAGCAACGCCGCGUGCGGGAUGACGGCCUUCGGGUUGUAAACCGCUUUCGCCUGUGACGAAGCGUGAGUGACGGUAAUGGGUAAAGAAGCACCGGCUAACUACGUG
RNAcentral lists this ribosomal RNA (468 nucleotides) under uncultured bacterium. RNAcentral's name for it is "partial 16S ribosomal RNA". It matches the Rfam family "Bacterial small subunit ribosomal RNA", at positions 28 to 507 of the family's 1533-position model. The record is from RNAcentral.